AUGACCUCGUCAAAGAACUGCAGAGUGUCCUCCUCGUCGGGGACCGGAGGCGCGGAGGGUUUGGCUCUUGAUAUCUGCGGUUACAAAGAGAGAGGAGGGAGAACAUCUGUCUGUGAUAGCUCCUGCUCUGUGCUCUGUGCUCUGUGCUCUCUGAUAGACGCUGCGGUCUUACCGGCUCGUCCCUGCGAGGCGGCGGCGGCGGCGGCGGGGCCGGCUUCUUCUUGGAGGACACUGUGGCCUUGGCCUCGCUGCUUUUCAAGUCACUCACGCUCUUUGUGUACUGCCGCCUCAGAGCCACGAGAGCCUCCAGAGUGGAGCCCGCUGCGGCGGCCUGGCUCCUCUCCCCCACCACCAGCAUGGAGGUGCUGCGGACCAGCCGGACGGUGCAGGCGCUGUGGUAGUCCUGCUCGGACCGGAGUCCACCGCCGGGACCGCCGGCACCGUCCCGCCCUCUGUGUCCGUGAUGGUUUGGACGGAACACAUUGUUGAUCUUCCUGAACAUUCCUCUACACGGAGUCUUUCAGGGUCACACUCGUAGAUUCCUCAGUGUUCGUCAAGCGUCCAUCCAUACUGGUCUGUUAAGGCCAACCAACACCUCUCCAGUCAAACAGACUGACAAACAAACAAACAAACAAACACUCCCUUCACCCUGACCGGAGCUGUUCACUGCGGCCUGUCGCUGUCCAGGGUGCUGAAGUCACCAAAGAGUGCGCAGGGUGCCACAGAGGCAGAUGUGAGCCUCCUGUCGAACCUGAUCUCAACAUGUCUGCAGUGUUAUCGGAUGUUGCUCAGCAACAUUGCUGUAGCAACGGGCAGGUAACUCUACACCGCGUGCUUCCAUUACUGCCGAGCAGCAGGCCUGUGUCAGGUGUCCUGACUCACAGCACACUGGACUGGACCAUAUAACACCAGCCAUCCGACCAGCUCCGGGCCUCAGGUGUUACUGACGGUGAAUCCACCUGUUAACAUAUGGAGGGCCGUGAGGGCCAAAACCAGAUAUCAAAAUAAGUAUCUGAAAACAUAUAUAAUUUUAAUGAAAUGCUAAAAUAAAUGGAUGAGUAAAUAAUUAAAUAACUUAAUGCUUAUUAAAUAUAUAAUGAUACAAAUACAUGCUUAAUUGAAUGAAUUAAGCAUUUGAUUAAUUCCGCAUUUAAUUCAUCCCCCGUGAGCCUGAAAAGGGUAAGCAGUUUCACAUAAUGGAUGGAUAACUCAGUGCUUAUUAAAGGUAUGAUUUUAUAAUCAAAUGCUCAAAUAAUUAAUACAUAAUGAAGUGAUUUAAUGCUUUGCCACAAUUAUUCAAUUAUGAAACAACACAUUUUUUAAAUUAUUAUAUCUUACAACCAACUUAUAAUUGUAAUUAUGUAUUUAUUCAUUUAUUUAUUUAAUUCAUUUUGUUACAUAAUUGUGUAUUAAUUCAUUGAUAAAUGCAUUUAAUCAUACAAUCAUUUAUUCAUUUAUUCAUAUAUUUACUUUUGGCCCUUAAAGGUACUCACGAUUUGGUAACAUAUUCCCAUAUUCUUGAACUGUAAGACUGCUCGUUGGGCGCCGUAGCAUUUGUGGCAGCCCCUUUACUCAUCUCCUCCACACUGUGUGUGUGUGUGUGUGUGUGUGUGUGUGUGUGUGUGUGUGUGUGUGUGUGUGUGUGUGUGUGUGUGUGUGUGCGCGCCUGUGUGUAAUGCGAGUUGAAAAAAACAAUUUCCCAAUUUGGGAUUAUAAUAGUAUAUAAAAUUUAACAAAAUAAAAUUGUAGAUAGCACAUGUGCUGUUUUUGUUCCCAAAACUCACAACAAUAGCCUGUUUUGCUCUAAGGUUUACGAAUACUAAUGAAACAUAAAGCACUAUAGUACAUUUAUAAUGUUCGCUCUUGCACACUGCUCUUCCAUGUAUCAAGAGCACCGUCUGUUUGUCUAUAGGCCUGUAAAAACUUUGCAUAGUUAACCUUUUAAAUAUCCUCCAUAUUAAUACACCUCCAGACCUUAAAGAAGAACAGGAUUAACUGAGGAUGAGUUUAAUUCUUCAUAUCUGUGUGUUUAUAUGAAGAUCAUAAUAAUAAAUCCAGAUGUAUAAACAGGAUGUUGUGGAUGCUUUAAUAAACUCCAGAACUGAUAUAAUGAUGUUGACUUAUGUCUGGGUUUCCUCACUUGAUUAAUAAUAAAUCAUUUUCUCUCGUGUUUCCUAUUGUAGUGCCUCCCUGAAUACAAGAGACACAUGCAGACAGGGUACUUCCAUCACGGAAAAAUCCCAGCCGUAAAUGUGCUCUGAAAGUUUCCAUCACUUUCACCAGAUAACUGAUUUAGUCCUCAGCAGAGUUUACCUGUGAGAGAUUCAAUUCAAAGUUUUCUUCCAGACGAGGAGAAAGGAGAAGAAAUGAGAAUAUAUCAACAGAAAAAAAGUGUCAUCAAGCC
RNAcentral lists this long non-coding RNA (2404 nucleotides) under Sparus aurata (gilthead seabream). Its description in RNAcentral is "lncRNA (ENSSAUG00010009151.1)". The record is from RNAcentral. Lineage: Eukaryota; Metazoa; Chordata; Actinopteri; Spariformes; Sparidae.